Molecule: small nuclear RNA, 146 nt
Filed under: Nannospalax galili (Upper Galilee mountains blind mole rat)
Lineage: Eukaryota; Metazoa; Chordata; Mammalia; Rodentia; Spalacidae
Description: U1 spliceosomal RNA (ENSNGAG00000001845.1)
Rfam family: U1 spliceosomal RNA
About the family: U1 is a small nuclear RNA (snRNA) component of the spliceosome (involved in pre-mRNA splicing).
Source: RNAcentral
AUGCUUACCUGGCAGGGAUGAUACUAUAAUCAUGAAGGUGGUUUUCCCAGGGUCAGGUUUAUGCGCCUGACUCCAGAUGUGCCACCCCUAUGAUUUCUCUGAACGUGGGAAACUCAAGUGUAUGAUUUGUAGCAAUGGGGGACUGA